This is a long non-coding RNA of Brassica napus (rape), 4815 nucleotides long. RefSeq lists it as uncharacterized. The transcript is spliced from 10 exons. Lineage: Eukaryota; Viridiplantae; Streptophyta; Magnoliopsida; Brassicales; Brassicaceae. The record is from RefSeq and is a predicted model, not a curated record.
UAUGUUUGGGCUUCGUAUGCAUGCGACUUUUUCUUUGGGCUUCACUAUCACGCGAAAUGCAUUUCUCUGGGCUUCACUAUCAUUACGCCGAAUGAACGCCUCUAUCUCUUCGUCUUCUUCACUUGAAAUCACAGCUAUUCAGUUCUAUCGCCACUUCUCCACAAUCAAUACUGCACUAUAUCUCGAUCCAUCAAUUUCUACUUUAUGAUUUCGUUUCAGUUUACUCUUUUCCUCCUACUUUAUAUACUCAUUUUCUUUCCCGAGUACAAAUCAAACCCUAGAACAUCUCUAAAACAAAUCAUGAUAAUGGGGAUUGCGGAAAGAGACAACAUAUGGAGUUCAGUUUGGAGAAUUCUUUUGAAGGUUAUCAUCCUCGGUGAUAGCGGGGUUGGCAAGACAUCGUUGAUGAAUCAGUUUGUGAAUCGCAAGCUUAGUAAUCAGUAUAAAGCCACGAUUGGAGCAGAUUUAUUGACUAAAGACGAAGAUGCGGAGGGAUUGACCGUUGAGGAGUUGGAGAGUACGCCAGAGACUCCACCGGCCCACCGUUUGAAAACAGAGACGGCGAAGGCGCCGGCCAGGGAGAGAAAGGAGCAGAAGCCGCGAGGUUUCUUCUCCGGGAAGCAGAGGGUUUGAUCUAACCGAGUAAAGCUAUGAACUUUUCCAACACCCGGUUCCAUGGAUAAGAAAAAAUGAUUUGUGGCUCCAGUGCUCUGCUGAAACGUCCCUUUCCCCGCCAUCAUUUACAUAUUAUACCGUCCUCGCCAGUGGAGCUCAAACGUCUCUUCCCCUCAAAGUUUGGUCACUUCUUUGGUUGGCCACGAAGGCAUUCAGGUAUGCUACAGUUUGUUAAUCGCUAGAUUGAUAUUUACAAUAACGAGUUUAAAUGCCAAGCGUUUUCUGGUGCUUUUUAAAAGAGGAGAAUCAAAUGAUUGACCUGGAACCGCUUGAUGUUCUCUUGACAAUCUCUCUAAUACUAUUUAUCUUGGCUUUUUAUUUGUUACUAUUUUCUGAAAUCUUUUAAUAGUUUUUUCAGCUUCUGGAAGCUCUUUUUUUGUAGAAUGUAGGCAGCAGCCAGCACAUAGAGAUUAUGGUAACAAAAUGUAUUACAAACUCUAACAACAUCAAAGAAUCCAAGUAUAACAAAGGUAGUCAAGUCAUCAGCAUUUGCUUAUACGCUUUUUCUCUUCAUAACGAGCUUCUACGCUAUAUUAAAUCCAAUUCCACUGGUUUGUUGGUCGGUACAUUGCAAUAUGGUUUAGAGCUUCUGUGAAUCAUAACUGUUGUACAUUUUCAUGUAGAUGACAGUGUAACAGCGAUAACUACAAAUAACUGGAUUUGUAUUCCGGUUGUGCUUAUUAUGUUCUAUUCCGUACGGCUCUUGCAUGGAGAAUGCUCUACGGACAGAUAUUGAAAACCAUUGUUGUUUUGUCCUUAGGAAAAACUCUGAUCAAAACGUUUAAUAAGCUAAACUCAAUCGCAUUUACAAGUAAUUAUAGAAAGUUUUCUACAAUCUUAGUUUCAACAUGUCCGUUCAAAAUGUGAGUUUGGUAAUUGUAUUUUGUGUUCUUUAUAUAUUCCAGGCGUCAAUUGAUCCAUCAACGCAGAAGGUUUCUGUUUGUUGCAGAUGCUAAUAGUUCUUAACUACGGAGCUCUGGACUGCAGUCAAGUAUUCAUCAAGCUGUUAAAGCUAAAAAAUUUAGUAUAUUCGAUUCAGUUUGGUUUGCAUAGGUUUAUUAACAUAAAAAGAAUCCCUUCUAAGGAACUGGGUAAUGGAUAAUUCUUAGCCAUAAGUGAAAUCCGAUUUCUAUUCGGUUUAUGUGAAAUUGUGAAAGAAAAUCGUUGGUACAAUGAUGGUUAAUUUUAAGUCAAUUACAAGGAAGCCACAAAGAAGAACCAUAAAACGGCUUUGAUGGUAUGCAGCUCAGAAGUAUUCUAUGUCCCAAAACACUUUUUGUGAGUUUUUUUUGAGCAAAGACAUCCUUUUAUUUGUAUUUAGUUAAUAACUAGCAAAGCGGGUUACGAAAUACAAACUUUUGUGUUAUAUUGCCAAAAUCUUUAAGAAUAAAAUUCCUUCUCUGCUAAAUUAAAGUAGAAAACAUUAAAUAUAAAGUUAAUAAUAGAUAGUAUAUUACAAUUUGGAAACACACCUAGAAGGGUAAAUAAAAAUAGAACCAGAAACUAUAUUAUAAUUUGUUCCCAUGUAUUAUUUGUGAUAGAAUUUUAACAUUUUAAUUAAAAUGACCCAAACUGUAUAUACAAUUACAACUGGUAAAUUCGUAAAAUAUAAGCAUAAAUAUAAAUUUGAAAAAGUAAAAAGUAAAAAUGAUUACAUUAAAAAUUGUGAAAAAUAACUCAAUUUAUUUUCAUUGUAUUUGUUAUGUUUUUUCUUUCCAAAGACAACUCCAAAUUCUCUCUCGAGAGUAAAUAUUUGAUUUGUUAUGUUAAUUGUGUUAUUAAUCUACUCUACAGUAACAUAAAUUCUAUGAUACAAUUGAAAAAUAAACCCAAAUAAAAAUCUGGAAAUAUGACAAAUAUUCCAUUUAAAUUAGAAACAGUAAAACUGUUCCAAAUUUAGUUAUCUUACAAUAUUAAAAGAAGAAUAAGCUCAAAGCUCAGGGCAUCCACGUAGGAUUAAUAAAAUCAUCCAAUCAUUAUGUGACAUGUCAGCCAAAACUACACACUCAUCUCACCCAUGUACAAUUUACAACUACGCGAAACCUUUCCAUCUUCUCCACGAGUCCUUCUCCAAUUUGUCGUUGCAAAAAUUGUUACAUCUUCCAUAAAUUCUGCGUCAGUUUAGCUUUUUAACUCACUUCUUCAUUCAAUUUCUUCUGACCGUCGCUUUCUCUCCCUUGGAUAAAGCAUUCUACAUCCAAUCUCCAAGAUCCAGAUUUCUCUUCAGAUGUCGUAACAUGAUCUCGACCCUUGGCAGUUUUCUCUUUGCAGUGGCCGGACCUUGAAGUGCGGUGCAGAUCCAGCACACGGCGGACGACUACUGUCCCUUAUCGGAAAAAGCUUUAUCUCCAUGUAUGUAUAUGACGAUAUAAACAGUGGAGGAACAAUGAACCUAGAAUUUUAUUGCAUUGACAUAUGUUAUUGAAGGUAUGACAACUUUAGAUCUCUCUAUUUUUCGGUUUAAGUAUUUCGUUUCCCCUUUUCUAUUUCUUUGGAAAAUAUUAGAGUCCAUAAGUCCGAAAAAGAUUAUUGUGCACAUAUUUCUUGAUUUUCCGUAACUUCUCAUGUUUUGAUAUUGAGGCACCGUAGAGUACUAUGCCAGCUUUGAUAUUGCUUUUGUGGGCUGCAGCUAAAGCUUACAAACUUAUAGUGACUAUGUUAGCUUUGAUAAACGUUCAAAGAAGGAUGCUUAUACACGCACUUGGAGCAGAUAUUAUACUAAGGAAUCCAGAGAAACGUCUCAAAGGUGCAGUGGAAUGAGCUAAAGAGAUAGUUCUCAAGACAAAGAAUACUUAUAUGUUACAGCAAUUUUAUAAAACAGCUAAUCCAAAGAUCCCCUUUGAAGCUACAUGACCAGAGAUCUGAGAAUAUACAAAGAUGAUGUCGAAUUGGAACUGGUGGUCGUUGGUGUUGAAAGAAGUGUGAUUUCUGAAGACCGUACUGGAAUUCGUGGAUGUUAAGCUACUUGAUGAAGUGUUUUUAAGGAUAGAAAUAAUCUCACCUAAUUGGAAAUCAACAAUCCUAGCUGAUACAACUCUAUCCAAAAAUAAAAGAGGAUGAUUCAAAAUGCUUAUAUAAGGUAGCAACGAGGAAACAAUUGCGACGGAGAUAAGACUACCAUUGUAGAAAGGAUUGUUGCUGCUGGUAUAUAUAAUAAUCUCUUAAUACUCCUUUCUUCUACAUAACGUUAUUGGGUUGGUACUUUGGGGGGGGAACAUAAAACAUACAUCAGGUCGAGAUUUCAUCUGGAGCUGCUGUAGUUGCAGCAAUCAGCUUGGCUAAAAGGGCUGCGAAUGCAGGAAAACUCAUCAUGCUUCUGUGUAGGUCAGAUGAAUUGAAAUAAAGAGGAUUUGAUAUACCAAUGCUAUCUGAACUGAUGGAGCUGGAGGCUAUGAAAUCAAGUUCUCAGCUAAACCAUAUGGUGCAUCCUCGGUUCUUAAAUUGAAAGAUGAAUUAGGGAAGACGGUUUUGGAUCUGGUGAAGAAUAUUAUGGAUCCAAAUUUCUCUGUCAAAUUGAAUGGUCGUGUUCAGUUCUCCUCAAAUAGCAAUGCUGAGUUGAAUGAUCUUAUCUAUUACUUCUGAGUUUAAUUUGACAAAUAUUCAGCAAGAUGGAAUGUUUUUUCCCUCUUUUAUUUUAACAAGGUUUGACAGUGAAGUAUUAACACAGGUAACAGUACUAGCACGUGAGGCUCGUGCAUUCAUCAAGUAAACAAAACACGAAGCGAAAAGCUAAGUAUAGAGAGACCUCUACAAGGAGAACCUUCUGUCUUUGUUGAUAGGCAGUGAUCAUCAACACAAACGAACAACAGACUCUCUAUACAUAGAUCACGCGGAACAAUUUCAGAGCUUCUUACUCAGUUUUCGCCACUGGAACUGGAAUCAAUGUUAUGGUUUUGAAGGAAUAAGACACAGAUUAAUCUCUGAGGAAGCAAAAGCCACAACCAAGUACUUUAUUUCCUGAUCUGAAACAUCUUAUAUCCUAUGUAAAGUAGAUGUCUCUUUGAUGACCUGAAGAACAUAUAAAUUGUUUCUGUGUUGUGAGUAAAUAUUCUUUUUAGUUUUUACUGCAUGUGGUCAAGAAAAAGAUUACACAGUUUGUAAUGUGGAAUGAUACGACAAUUAGUCUAUUGAUUUUUAAAA